UACGUAGGGGGCUAGCGUUGUCCGGAAUCAUUGGGCGUAAAGCGCGCGUAGGCGGCCCUGUUAGUCCGCUGUAAAAGUCAAAGGCUCAACCUUUGAAUGCCGGUGGAUACUGCAGGGCUAGAGUCCGGAAGAGGCGAGUGGAAUUCCUGGUGUAGCGGUGGAAUGCGCAGAUAUCAGGAGGAACACCAACGGCGAAGGCAGCUCGCUGGCCCGGUACUGACGCUGAGGCACGAAAGCGUGGGGAGCAAACAGG
This 253-nucleotide ribosomal RNA is filed under the name uncultured bacterium. Its description in RNAcentral is "partial 16S ribosomal RNA". It matches the Rfam family "Bacterial small subunit ribosomal RNA", at positions 524 to 776 of the family's 1533-position model. The record is from RNAcentral.